Oncorhynchus mykiss (rainbow trout) is the source of this 3741-nucleotide non-coding RNA. The record is from RefSeq and is a predicted model, not a curated record. Lineage: Eukaryota; Metazoa; Chordata; Actinopteri; Salmoniformes; Salmonidae.
AUUUACAGAUGAUCGCAGAAACACCGAUGAAUCGUUAUCGCUUUGCUUAGUGUUCUGCUUCACACAUGCAUGUUUGACAGUUAGCAGCUAGCCAGCCACCUAGCCAGGGAGAGGCUAUACCAAAGACAGUGCAUUAUGAAGAUCCCUGGGCACACUUGUAGGCGACCUCCGCUAGCAAAACUCAUACGUAGAAACACGUUAUCGGGUCGUCUCGCGCCGAACUGCGCAUAUGCAGUUCGUCAACUCAGAGGCACUCUUUCUAUAUAAAGUUGUUUUUGACGAAAAUGAAAACGUGUCAGUUUGUGACUCUCACAGGGUUGGAGUCAUAACAAGUUCAACUACAUAAGACAUUGGCUCGAAUCUAAAUUGUUCCUUUAGAUUUCGAGAAAAUUAAUGAAUAAGUAAGCUCCUAUCUUUGGCUAUACGGACACUCCUGGUGCCCAAACUGAUGACGUAUGUAAGUAUAUCGCGCAGCUGAGAGUCAGGUGUGGAAUUUUGCAAUUGUUUUAGAUGCUGCUUGAUUCUUGAGGUCAAGACCCGGGCCCUGUAUCAGAAAGAAAGUUUAACAAACUCUGAGUUUAAACCUGAACUCUGGGUUGACUAACUCUGAGCUGUCAAACUCAGAGUUUUCGGUUACAGAGCAGGUGAUAACAAAGAGUUAAAUCAAAGCUUGGUUAACUUGUGCAUGAGGAGAUAAAGAGCCAUCAUCAAUGGAACGCAGAUAACAUGAUUCAUCAUGGCAACAGGAGAAAAGGUCUCGAACCUCCUACUGCUCCCCAGUGGAGUUUGAAAUGUUAACGAACGCGUAUGCAGAAUAUGUGCAUAUAUUUAAGGAAAAAAAAUGCCGUAGCAUCAGCAAAAUAACGUGAGUUUGCGUGGCAGAAAAUUGCUGACCAAGUCAAUGCGCACAAAACCUACUUGGCAGACACUGAAGAUGAAAUAUACAAAUAUACUUCAAACAGGUGUGUACUUUCUUGGUAAACAUACCCAAAAGAAAAUCUGAGAUAUACACGAGCGUGAGGCAUCAGAGUAUAUCGCUCAAGCCUGACGUCAGUUCCACUUCGAGAGUAACCAGAGAACGUGCAACAUGACAGGUAGGCUACAGAUAGUCAUCUCACCUUCAGUCUAUUAACAGUAACAGGCCCUGAAAUCUCCUGCAACAAUCAUGUCAAAUGAUUGCGAUACUGCUGUGUUGAUGAUUCAUAUUUGUGCAUUUUGAAACCCUGUUGAUUUUUAAAAAAUGUAUAGUGUUGUCAAUGCUCCCUACCUUAAUUAAGAGAAGCCAUUUUACAUAAUCUGAACUCAGAACCUCACAGCACUGCUGAAGAGCAUGUACGUACGCGGUCAUGACUUGAUAGCUCAGCAAAAUUAUUAGUUUAUUAAUGACAUCACCUGUUUCUCUUCUAGACCAGCAAAUAAACUUUAAAUAUGGGAGGACCUGAAGAUUAUCAGUGUUAUUAUUCUUCUUCUACAUGAAUUCAUUUGAAUCAAUAACUAAAGUGAUUUAAUCUGUCAUAUGGUAAUCACCCCCAGGUUUCACCCGAAGUGUCGUGGCUGUGUACAGUGUGUUGAUAUGUUGAUUGUUUUACACCAUGUUCAGCUCAAUAUCAUUUGUGGCUACUUAUACAUGGACAAUUCUGUCAGCAAGAAUUGAAUGGUACGCCUUUAAGCUUUAAUGUCUUGUACCCUAUGGGGCAGCUUCAAUUCCUAGUUACAUAUUAAGCCUACAUUCAGCACCUCCCAUGAACUGCAGAAAUGAAGGAGUGGACAUUUUACUGGUAGACCUGGACUUCUUGGCCUUCUCUGUAUGUCUGCAUGACACUGGACAUCACAGAUGGAGGAAGAAAUGCACUUAUUCUCUGUACCAAGUCACAAAACUCAAGAGGAUCGGGUCCUUGGGAAGUUACUGUUCCCUGUCCUUGGUGGGAGAACUGUGUUCCAUUGUGGACUGUAGGGUUCUAAACUGCUGCCUUCUUUACCUGGACACUUCAAGGUCAAAGACCCACUGCAUCUUCUGUCGUUCUGCCCUUAACCCACUGUUAACUGCCUUGUUCAGUUGUCAUUGUAAAUAAGAAUUUGUUUUUAACUGACUUGCCUAGUUAAAUAAAGGUUCAAUCUUUACUGUUCCCCCAAGGCUUAAUAAGUCAGCCAGACAGCCCACCAUGAAUCAGGUCAUUUUCCUGUGUCAUUAUGAAGAAAAUCCUGAAAGCCUUAUCCCACUUUACAUAGCUGUUGCUUUGGUACAUUAAAGCUGAAAUCUGCCAAAGGAGCCACGGACUGCCCCAGGAGCAUUUGUUGUUUUUGUUUUGAGGAAAUGAGCACCCAGCAUUGUGGUGUAAAAAAGAAAUCAGCAUACAUACCCUGCUGUUCUAUCGCUCGUGCAAUGAUGUCCGAGAGAUUUUUGUUGGUGUUUGAAGUCUUUGUUGUAAUAUGUGUUCCACCAAUUAGGUGCCUUUUUGAGUAGUGUAACUUUACAAUAAACUUUUAGAGAAAAAAGCCCCAGUUUUACAGUAUUUCACCUAAUUUUAACAUUCUUCAAUAAAGGGCACACAUUCUUAAUUAUUUUACAACAUCAACAGAUACAAAUAAAAACCAUAGCAAGUGCCAAAUAAAGUGACUUCAUCUUAAAUCAGCCAUAAAUCCCCUUGUGGCGAGGUAAUGGAAGCUUGUGUGCAGCAGGAAAAGGCAAUUGAAUUCAAGCGUAAAAUAUUUCUAGCCUGUAUCUAUAGCUAACAGGGUUGACAUGUUAUGCUUGACCCUUGCUGUUUUCCACCACAAAACACCAGAUUAUUAUAAUUUUUUUAUUUAUUUUUUUUCAAAUUACAAAUAACUUAAUUCUAUAUCAGCAUUUUGACUUGUCCAUCAUUGUCUCACGUCAGAUCAGUGCUGAUGGCUGUCGCACUGACCUGAGACAAAGGGAGAUAUUACAAUGCUGAAUUUUGGCACGCCUAUUAUUUUUUUUAAAUGAGAUAUUUAUGCACAAUUUCUACUUAAAAUAUCAAAGGUCACUUUUAUCCUUUGACCAAUAUCGCAAAUGAACUCGGCAUUUUCACUGCUAUGGAUUGCAGCUUUAAGCAUAAAGUGAACCAAGUGUCAGUUUGAGUCUAAACAGAUUAGUCUUAGUUUUUCCAUUCUAUUACUGUUGUUGAGGAAUCAGUGUACAAAACAUUAGGAACACCUUGUCUUUCCAUAAGACUGACCAGGUGAAUCCGGGUGAAAUCUAUGAUCCCAUAUUGAUGUCACUAGUUAAAUCCACUUCAAUCAGUGUAGAUGAAUUGGACGAGACGGGUUGAAGAAGGAUUAAAAGAUCCAGUGCUGUGCCAUCUAGACUGCAAUUCCCCAUUCAACCUCUAGGUUUACUUUCUGUUCAACAAUGUUCUUUACUUCACUGCACUGUUGACUUCAUCUACUUUGUCUCUGUCUUUGAAAUGUCAGUGUUUUUUUCUUAUUAAAUCAUGGAAAUUGGAAAUGUACUCAUAUUUCUGUUAGGGAAUGGGGGUGGGCCUUAAAGUUAACCUUGAGGUUUGUUAGGGUACUUGAAGUGAGAAUGUAGGCCUGUCUAUUUCCUCUUUGUAACAUAACAUUCUGAAUAACAACAGAAAAUGUAAGUACUGUAGCAUUGACAUUAAAAAUUAUAAAAUCACGAUUUAAUAUAUUCAGUGUCUCUUUUAUUUGUGUUUCCUAAUAUAAAUGUAGGUAACUAUUUUAUGGACCACUUUGCUUCAGGGUCAUACUGUCGUC